UACGUAGGGGGCUAGCGUUGUCCGGAAUCAUUGGGCGUAAAGAGCGUGUAGGCGGUCCGGUAAGUCCGCUGUGAAAGUCGGGGGCUCAACCCUCGAAUGCCGGUGGAUACUGUCGGGCUUGAGUACGGAAGAGGCGAGUGGAAUUCCUGGUGUAGCGGUGAAAUUCGUAGAUAUUAGGAAGAACACCAGUGGCGAAGGCGGCUCACUGGUCCGGUACUGACGCUGAGGCGCGAAAGCGUGGGGAGCAAACAGG
This 253-nucleotide ribosomal RNA is filed under the name uncultured bacterium. Its description in RNAcentral is "partial 16S ribosomal RNA". It matches the Rfam family "Bacterial small subunit ribosomal RNA", at positions 524 to 776 of the family's 1533-position model. The record is from RNAcentral.